AAAACCACAAAAUGGGCAAUAUUUAUACACAGGUUGAAUCAAAUUCAAAAUCCACAAUAUUAGGAUGUCAACUCUAGGAAUUUACCUCUUCAUUGUGCAAUUUGUAGCAAUAAUUGCAAUUUAUUGUACUUCCAUUAUAGUUGAAAUAAAGCAUAGAAACUAAUCAGACUUACGAAUGGCUGCCUGACAUCAUCAUAAGAAAGCCCAAGACGUCUUCUUAAAUCUGCUUUAUUUUCUGCUUUGCUUUCAAUAUCAUAAGCAUUAAUUAAAA
This 271-nucleotide long non-coding RNA is filed under the name Olea europaea (common olive). RNAcentral describes it as "long non-coding RNA (OEUR_LNC010089)". Lineage: Eukaryota; Viridiplantae; Streptophyta; Magnoliopsida; Lamiales; Oleaceae. The record is from RNAcentral.